RNAcentral lists this ribosomal RNA (584 nucleotides) under Cophinforma mamane. RNAcentral describes it as "eukaryotic LSU rRNA". Lineage: Eukaryota; Fungi; Ascomycota; Dothideomycetes; Botryosphaeriales; Botryosphaeriaceae. The record is from RNAcentral.
GGGUUUCCGUGGGGUGACCUGCGGACCGAUCAUUAACCAGACGAACGGGCUCCGGCCCGAUCCUAAGGGGACUUACCUACCUCUGUUGCUUUGGCGGGCCGCGGGGAUCUCGAGGGCCCCCCCUCCCCGGGGGGUGGCUAGUGCCCGCCAGAGGACCAUCAAACUCCAGUCAGUGAACGUCGCARUCUGAAAAAACAUUCAAUAAACUAAAACUUUCAACAACGGAUCUCUUGGUUCUGGCAUCGAUGAAGAACGCAGCGAAAUGCGAUAAGUAAUGUGAAUUGCAGAAUUCAGUGAAUCAUCGAAUCUUUGAACGCACAUUGCGCCCCUUGGUAUUYCGAGGGGCAUGCCUGUUCGAGCGUCAUUACAACCCUCAAGCUCUGCUUGGUAUUGGGCACCGCCCUUCWUCGGGCGCGCCUCAAARACCUCGGCGGUGGCUGUCUUGCCUCAAGCGUAGUAGAAUACACCUCGCUUCGGAGCGCAGGGCGUCGCCCGCCGGACGAACCUUCUGAACUUUUCUCAAGGUUGACCUCGGAUCAGGUAGGGAUACCCGCUGAACUUAAGCAUAUCAAUAAGCGGAGGAA